RNAcentral lists this long non-coding RNA (744 nucleotides) under Sus scrofa (pig). Its description in RNAcentral is "lncRNA (ENSSSCG00005007037.1)". The record is from RNAcentral. Lineage: Eukaryota; Metazoa; Chordata; Mammalia; Artiodactyla; Suidae.
CCCUGCAGAGGAUCCUGAGACAGCCCGUGGAUGUCCCACUGCCUCUGCCCACAGCUACCAUGAAGGUCUCCACCGCUGCCCUUGCUGUCAUCCUCGCCAUGGCCGCCCUCUGCGCUCCGGCAUCAGCCUCCCCAUAUGCCUCGGACACCACACCCUGCUGUUUUUCCUACCUCUCCCGACCGCUGCCCCGCGCCCACCUCCAGGAAUAUUUCUACACCAGCAGCAAGUGCUCCAUGGCAGCAGUCGUCUUUAUCACCAGAAAGAACCGCCAGGUGUGUGCCAACCCAGAGAAGAAAUGGGUGCGGGAGUACAUCAACUCCUUGGAGUUGAGCUAGGAUGGAGGAAGCCUUGAGCCUGAACUCGUGCAAACUUUCCUACUGCUUCUUGCUCUUGUCCCAGCCAGCUUGGGAGGCUCUCCCCUGGCCCCAUGCCCUCCCCCCACCUCCUCCUGGGAGGGCACAGACUCCACCACUUACAGCAGCUGCUGUAAAACCUCCCAGGGCUCCUGGGGGUCUCCUGCCUUGUGCCCAGAAGAUCUCUAGGCUCCGAACUUUGGACCCUUGGCACAGCCACGACUCUGCAGUCAGGAAGGACAGUCAGCACCUCUGGAGGUGAAGAGGAGAGGGAGAAGGGGCUCCUACACCCUCCAUGGCCAGAGCACCCACCCUGGCCUCUCACUGGGAAAGGAUGACUGGCAAAUGUGAGAAAUCAGCUUUCCAUUAAAAUCCUCAAUGCAAUUGCAAA